UGGUUGCUUAAGUGUCAAAGAACCCUUCCUGGAGCAAUAUGGGGCAGUUCUUCACUGUUUUGCAGGCUAGCAGGAGAAUAUAAUACUCAGGUAACCCUGUGUGACUGAGGAACAAAACAUCUCCCAUUGGUCCAAGCCAUCUAUUUUGUGAGGGUGUGUAAUUGUGCAUCAUCAUAUAUGUCGCAGCUUCAAAUAACAUAAGACUGUUAACAAAUCUUCUUGACUUCUAUCAUUCACAGAUUGUUAGAAGAACAUAAGCCGCUAACUUUCUUGAUGUAUCUUACUUUUUGAGAAAAGAACUUUGCUUUUAGCUUAUUUAGAGUCCUUAAGUUGACUACAAAAUCCAACAAUGGCAAAGCUGUUUCAUAUAAAAUUUGAUCAGCCUCAAGGUGUUCUGGGCUUCCUCUGUCGUGCAUGCCAAAAUCAAAUUGUAUUGUCCAAAGAAUUUCUCUAUGGUUUUACAGUCUCUCUCUCUCUCUCUCUCCUGGUUAAUAUUUAUGAGUUUACUAUGAUUUCGUAGUCUGUAAUUUCACAUCUCUGCUGCUGAAAGGUAGUUUGUUGCUAUUUCUUCUUUAUAUAUUUGACAUGCGUCUACAAUUUGGUGUUUUAACUGUGGAUUUCUCAAUGGCUUGCUCUUCUUUGUUAUCAAGUUCCUAUUCUCACAAUUGUUUCCGAUCUGCUUUUUCAGGUAAAGGAAUUUCUUGGAGAUGGAUUCUUAAAUGUGGUUUGAAGCAUCCGAAUGGCAAGAAGACUGAAAAUACAGAAGGAAACGAUUUGAAUCAUCUGCAGAAAUAGAUGCCAAAUAGCUGAGUUUGAGGAAAUCUUAUUGCUGAAUUGAGCUUUUACAUAUUUAAGGCUUUCUUUCACUUAUUUCACAAGGACCACACUUUCCGCAGAAGCAUGUAUUGGAUUGCGAUCAUCUAUACAGACCGUAAAUCUUGAUAGCCGUAAAAAGAAUGAUAAGAAGCGAGAAACACCAAAAGGACCACUUAAAGUAUGGGAAAGGCCUUCGGCCACCUUCUUGUGAGCGUAGUUGCUCCUGAUCUGAAUCACUUGCCCUGCACACAAAUUCUCUUCAGUUAAAAGUUCUGGUUGAUCCUUCAGAAAACCAGCUAAGAAGUUGUAGAGAGAAGUGCUUAUUUUAGAUGAAAAUAGAACAGAAAUUGUAAGCAGAAUACAAUCCAAACAUUUCCAGUAGGAGUAAGCAGGCAUGCCUGGUUGUGGAUUCAGUUUGCGGCUUUUGUUCUAGAGGCUUAGGCUCUUCUUUCUGUGCUGCUGGUUCUUGAGGUUUAGUUGGGGCAGUUGGCGUUUCUUGCUGCGCUUCAGCACUUGCAAUUGCUAUCUGCUUUGCCUGUAACAUUUUACAUGAAGUAGUUAAGAUACUUGUUCGUCAAUUAAUUCAUGAACAAGUAUAUUUUAAUUAGCUGACCAGGUUCCUGAAUUGGAGAUUGUAGAACAUUUGAAUGUAUC
This is a long non-coding RNA of Diospyros lotus (date-plum), 1470 nucleotides long. RefSeq lists it as uncharacterized. Lineage: Eukaryota; Viridiplantae; Streptophyta; Magnoliopsida; Ericales; Ebenaceae. The transcript is spliced from 2 exons. The record is from RefSeq and is a predicted model, not a curated record.